CCUACGGGGUGCUGCAGUGGGGAAUAUUGGACAAUGGGCGAAAGCCUGAUCCAGCCAUGCCGCGUGUGUGAAGAAGGCCUUCGGGUUGUAAAGCACUUUCAGUGGGGAAGAAAGCCUUGGGGCUAAUACCCUCGAGGAAGGACAUCACCCACAGAAGAAGCACCGGCUAACUCCGUGCCAGCAGCCGCGGUAAUACGGAGGGUGCGAGCGUUAAUCGGAAUUACUGGGUGUAAAGCGCGCGUAGGCGGUCUGAUAAGCCGGUUGUGAAAGCCCCGGGCUCAACCUGGGAACGGCAUCCGGAACUGUCAGGCUAGAGUGCAGGAGAGGAAGGUAGAAUUCCCGGUGUAGCAGUGAAAUGCGUAGAGAUCGGGAGGAAUACCAGUGGCGAAGGCGGCCUUCUGGACUGACACUGACGCUGAGGUGCGAAAGCGUGGGUAGCAAACAGGAUUAGAUACCCUAGUAGUC
This 465-nucleotide ribosomal RNA is filed under the name Vreelandella stevensii. Its description in RNAcentral is "partial 16S ribosomal RNA". It matches the Rfam family "Bacterial small subunit ribosomal RNA", at positions 338 to 795 of the family's 1533-position model. The record is from RNAcentral. Lineage: Bacteria; Pseudomonadati; Pseudomonadota; Gammaproteobacteria; Oceanospirillales; Halomonadaceae.